AAUAAAUUUUUUAUGAUUUAUAAGAUUUAAUUUAAAUUUAUUUUACAUAUAAAUUUUAGUAUGUAUUUUUAAUUAUUUUAAUAAUUUUUAAAAAUUUAAUUUAAUAGUAAUUAAUAUUAAAAAUUUAAGAAAUUAAGAUUUAGUAAUAUUUAUUUAUUAUUAACAAAUUUUGUGCCAGCAGUUGCGGUUAAACAAAAAAUAAUUUAAAUUUUAUUAGUAAAUAAUAAAUAUAAUGAGAAAAAAUUAAAUAUUAGAUUAUUAGGUGAAAUUUUAAUUAAUUAAAAAUUUUAUUUAAUGAUAUGAUUUAUUAAAUUUUAUAAAAAACUAGAAUUAGAUACUCUAUUAUUAAAAAUUAAAUUAAAAUACUAAAAUAGUAUAUGAUUAUUUAUAGAAACUUAAAUAAUUUGGCGGUAUUUUAGUUCAUUUAGAGGAAUCUGUUUAAUAAUUGAUAAUCCACGAAUAAAUUUACUUAAUUUAUAGAUUUUGUAUAUCGUUGUUAAAAAAAUAUUUUUUAAUAAAAAUAAUAUUUAAAAAUUUUUAAAAUAAAUUAAUUCAGAUCAAGAUGCAGAUUAUAAUUAAGAAUAAAAUGGAUUACAAUAAGGAAUAAUUAAAUGAAUAAUAUUUUUUAAAAAAUAUUAGAAGGUGGAUUUAAAUGUAAUUUUAUUUAGUUUAUUAAAAUGAUUAAAAAUUGAAAUAUGUACAUAUUGCCCGUCGCUUUCAUUAAUAAAUUGGAAUAAGUCGUAACAAAGUAGAGGUACUGGAAAGUGUUUCUAGAAAGAA
This 780-nucleotide non-coding RNA is filed under the name Papilio glaucus (eastern tiger swallowtail). Lineage: Eukaryota; Metazoa; Arthropoda; Insecta; Lepidoptera; Papilionidae. The record is from RNAcentral.